This 76-nucleotide transfer RNA is filed under the name Fusobacterium mortiferum. Its description in RNAcentral is "tRNA-Lys". It matches the Rfam family "tRNA". From Rfam's summary of the family: Transfer RNA (tRNA) molecules are approximately 80 nucleotides in length. Their secondary structure includes four short double-helical elements and three loops (D, anti-codon, and T loops). Lineage: Bacteria; Fusobacteriati; Fusobacteriota; Fusobacteriia; Fusobacteriales; Fusobacteriaceae. RNAcentral also lists the same sequence under 2 other names. The record is from RNAcentral.
GCGCCAUUAGCUCAGUUGGUAGAGCAUCUGACUCUUAAUCAGGCGGUCGCAGGUUCAACUCCUGUAUGACGCACCA